GGGCACAUGGUGUAGUUGGUUAUCACAUCCGCUUAGCAUUUUCACUUAUCGAAGGUACUGCGGGGGGUGCUGGGUUCAAUUCCCAGUGUGUCCA
Marasmius sp. AFHP31 is the source of this 94-nucleotide non-coding RNA. NCBI's taxonomy places the organism in Eukaryota, Fungi, Basidiomycota, Agaricomycetes, Agaricales, Marasmiaceae. The record is from the annotation of a GenBank genome assembly.